UACGGAGGGUGCAAGCGUUGUCCGGAUUUAUUGGGUUUAAAGGGUGCGUAGGCGGUUUGGUAAGUCGGCGAUGAAAGCCCGGGGCUCAACCCCGGAACUGUCGUCGAUACUGUCGAACUUGAGUACGGUUGAGGCUGGCGGAAUGGGCGGUGUAGCGGUGAAAUGCAUAGAUACCGUCCAGAACCCCGAUUGCGAAGGCAGCUGGCUAAGCCGUAACUGACGCUGAGGCACAGAAAGCGUAGGGAGCAAC
Molecule: ribosomal RNA, 250 nt
Filed under: uncultured bacterium
Lineage: Bacteria
Description: partial 16S ribosomal RNA
Rfam family: Bacterial small subunit ribosomal RNA
Source: RNAcentral